GUCCACGCCGUAAACGAUGAGUGCUAGGCGUUGGGUGUAUUGACCCCUCCAGUGCCGCAGCUAACGCGUUAAGCACUCCGCCUGGGGAGUACGGCCGCAAGGCUAAAACUCAAAGGAAUUGACGGGGGCCCGCACAAGCGGUGGAGCAUGUGGUUUAAUUCGACGCAACGCGAAGAACCUUACCUGGGUUAAAUCCACCGGAACCUCCUGGAGACAGGGGAGUGCCCUUCGGGGAACCGGUGAGAAGGUGCUGCAUGGCUGUCGU
This 265-nucleotide ribosomal RNA is filed under the name uncultured bacterium. RNAcentral describes it as "partial 16S ribosomal RNA". It matches the Rfam family "Bacterial small subunit ribosomal RNA", at positions 793 to 1055 of the family's 1533-position model. The record is from RNAcentral.